UGGCGUAGUUUGUCCUUCAUCUGUUUUCGAUGUAGUUCGUUGCUUUCCUUUUUAAUUUCCCCCCUCCUUUCGGAGUGAGGGUCCUCCCCUUGCCUUUCGUGGGGUUGCGUAGAAGUGUGGAGGUGCCGCUGAGGGGCCUUUCCCCUUCAUCCGAUCUUGUUGGGCAGUCGGGUUUCGUCACCAUCAGGGUGAGGUUCUCCUUCUAUUCCUGACGUAGUCGAUCUAGCUCAGGUUAGGAUGAGGUUCUCCUCCUGUUCCCAACAGGGCCGCAGGGGCACAUAAGGGCCAUCGUAAGGGCCUCUCUCCCCAUCCGGUCUAAAAGAACUGGGCCUUCGACUUUGCUCAUGUCAG
Molecule: long non-coding RNA, 351 nt
Filed under: Elaeis guineensis (African oil palm)
Lineage: Eukaryota; Viridiplantae; Streptophyta; Magnoliopsida; Arecales; Arecaceae
Description: long non-coding RNA (EGUI_LNC072821)
Source: RNAcentral